UGGGGAAUAUUGCACAAUGGGCGCAAGCCUGAUGCAGCAACGCCGCGUGAGGGACGACGGCCUUCGGGUUGUAAACCUCUUUUGGCAGGGAAGAAGCGAAAGUGACGGUACCUGCAGAAAAAGCACCGGCUAACUACGUGCCAGCAGCCGCGGUGAUACGUAGGGUGCAAGCGUUGUCCGGAAUUAUUGGGAGUAAAGAGCUCGUAGGCGGUUUGUCGCGUCUGCUGUGAAAACCCGAGGCUCAACCUCGGGCCUGCAGUGGGUACGGGCAAACUAGAGUGCGGUAGGGGAGAUUGGAAUUCCUGGUGUAGCGGUGGAAUGCGCAGAUAUCAGGAGGAACACCGAUGGCGAAGGCAGAUCUCUGGGCCGUAACUGACGCUGAGGAGCGAAAGCAUGGGGAGCGAACA
This 407-nucleotide ribosomal RNA is filed under the name uncultured bacterium. RNAcentral's name for it is "bacterial SSU rRNA". It matches the Rfam family "Bacterial small subunit ribosomal RNA", at positions 355 to 774 of the family's 1533-position model. The record is from RNAcentral.